This 279-nucleotide ribosomal RNA is filed under the name uncultured bacterium. RNAcentral's name for it is "partial 16S ribosomal RNA". It matches the Rfam family "Bacterial small subunit ribosomal RNA", at positions 506 to 784 of the family's 1533-position model. The record is from RNAcentral.
UGCCAGCCGCCGCGGUAAGACGAACCGUACAAACGUUAUUCGGAAUCACUGGGCUUAAAGCGUGCGUAGGCGGCUCGGCAAGUUGGGUGUGAAAUCCCUCGGCUCAACCGAGGAACUGCGCCCAAAACUGCCAGGCUUGAGGGAGAUAGAGGUGAGCGGAACUCAUGGUGGAGCGGUGAAAUGCGUUGAUAUCAUGAGGAACACCGGUGGCGAAAGCGGCUCACUGGGUCUUUACUGACGCUGAGGCACGAAAGCUAGGGGAGCGAACAGGAUUAGAUA